GAAACAGAACAUUAGAAAGAGCCCGGAAACCCCUGUUUUCUCCCCACGCGCAAAGACGACGACCAUCCUGCCUCCUGUCGCCGUGGAUCAGCUGUGGCUGUUUUGCACUUCGCAGGGGCACGAUAAGCAUAUGGAGGUAGACUCGUCCACGUGUGCCCCUUGACGUCUGAUUUCUCCUCCUCAGCGUCGUGUCUGUGAGACUCGCCCACAGCACCGGCAAAACUGGAUCAUAAGAACCGUAUAAAGAGGAAGAUAAAACCCACACAGGAGACCGUCGGCACAGUCAGCCCGUUAGCAUCUCAGCAUCCUUCCUCAGUCAGCUUGGACUCACCUCCCUCACCUGGUCUAUAAUUGGGCCUGAGCAUCUUUCACAGG
RNAcentral lists this long non-coding RNA (375 nucleotides) under Equus caballus (horse). RNAcentral's name for it is "lncRNA (ENSECAG00000052671.1)". Lineage: Eukaryota; Metazoa; Chordata; Mammalia; Perissodactyla; Equidae. The record is from RNAcentral.